CACGUAGUUAGCCGGUGCUUCUUCUACACCUACAGUCACCACCCGAAGAUGGCUUCGUCGGUGUCGAAAGAGGUUUACAACCCGAAGGCCGUCAUCCCCCACGCGGCGUUGCUGCGUCAGGCUUUCGCCCAUUGCGCAAGAUUCCCCACUGCUGCCUCCCGUAGGAGUCUGGGCCGUGUCUCAGUCCCAGUGUGGCCGGUCACCCUCUCAGGCCGGCUACCCGUCGUCGCCUUGGUAGGCCAUCACCCCACCAACAAGCUGAUAGGCCGCGGGCUCAUCCUGCACCGCCGGAGCUUUCCACACCACACCAUGCGGCACGAUGUCAUAUCCGGUAUUAGACCCCGUUUCCAGGGCUUAUCCCAGAGUGCAGGGCAGAUUACCCACGUGUUACCCACCCGUUCGCCACUCAUCCACGGUGCAAGCACCGCUUCAGCGUUCGACUUGCAUGUGUUAAGCACGCCGCCAGCGUUCGUCCUGAGCCAGGAUCAACUCU
Molecule: ribosomal RNA, 493 nt
Filed under: uncultured Saccharopolyspora sp.
Lineage: Bacteria; Bacillati; Actinomycetota; Actinomycetes; Pseudonocardiales; Pseudonocardiaceae
Description: partial 16S ribosomal RNA
Source: RNAcentral